AAUUAUGAUGGACCUCGGCCUCUCCCUGCCUUGCACUCAAACUUGGGGAAAAAUACAGUAGAAUUAUGAUAGCAGCUUUGGCUUCACUAUUUUUUCCAGUGUAAAUGAAGAGUCACGUGGUGGAAUAGGAAGAUAGAAUCUGUCUUCAAACUUCGUGGAAAUCUAGUUUGGCAAAGUGGAAGCACAGGUCCUUCGGAGAUGUCAGAAAGAAGAGAAGGUUAUCUAGUUGCAGCCCAGCCUCUCUGAGCUAGCAGGUUUUCACCCCAGCCUUUGAAUCUUGAGUCUUAUUUGUACGUAGAAUGAUAGAGCUAUAGCUAAAGCUACCUUUAACCAAAGUGACAGAGCCAGUACUUGGGGGAACAGAACUCCCUCCAGGCUAUGGCCUGAGCAUCCAGGCCGCUGCUAAAGAAACAGGCUGGUAACUGUAGAGUUGCAAUUGCUGGCUGAAAUAUCAGUAAAUUAAGGCACAGCCACUGUACUGAAGUUAAAACAACAGCUUUGAUAAAGAGAAGAUGCCAAAUUGUGAAGGAUAAAUCAAUUAUUAUUGACAUGCGGGCGCUCUGCGUGUUUCGUGAGGGAUGAAGCAAACGGAACACGUUUCUGCUUCAAAAGCUCGUUUUGACCACAAUAUAGAAAGUAAAGAACAGGGGCGGAAAAGAUACCGUUCAGAAAGUGAUUACAAUCACAAAAUGGGACACUAGCGAGGACUGGCAGACUGGGGUAUUUCUGACUGAGAACGUAACUAGACUGAUCCAACCUUCAAACUCACAGCCUUCCUUGCUCUUCUGAAGGAACCGCACAGCCUGUCACUGAAGAACAGAUAUUGACUCACUGCCUUAAGUCAACUCGACUUCUCGUCAGUGCAGUAUAAAGGUUUUCUGUAACAUUUUUCUUGAGACUGUGAUUUUUCCAUCUACUGAGUAAUGACAACCUCUCUACACCUUAAGGUGAAGGGAGCAUUGGCCUUUGUGAGGGGGUAUAACGGGGCUGCCAUUUCUGCGAACCCCGGUAUCCAGAGGCGGCAGAGGCCUGCACUCCCUAGGAACUCUCUCAGCUUCUUAGCACUAUAGGGCGGAGGUAUGAGAGCCACGGCCUGUUUGCGUCCCUCGGUCAGCCAUCUCCGGCCCCCUCGUAGAAGAUACCCCAAGGCCCCGGUACCUCGAAGGCAUCCUUGUUCCGUCUCAGCUGCCAGGAGCAGGUCAUCUACAUAUUGGAGGAGGGUCACAUCUGGGUGGUUAACUCAAGGUCCUCCAGGUCCUGCCCGUAGGACCUAAGAAUCUCGACUCUACGAUUUUGGCCUUGACUCUUAUGCUAACCUGGGGAUACAGCAGGCAAUUUUGUGAGGACCAGCGGAGCCACUGGACACACAGCAAACGCUGAGUCAGAACCUCUUCUGUGCCACCAGGCUUAGGAUUUCCCCUUAAAUCAGGCCGUGCUGGAAGUUCUCUGCCGGCCUCUCUGCAAUCUUCCUUUUCCUCGUCUAUCUCCGCCCACUCAAGCUCGUGGGUGGAGGACUGUUGUGCGCCUCACUGGAGCUACCCCGAGCCCUGCACUGCCACCCACAGCGUCCCGUGGGCAAACGCGGCCCGAGUGGAACCCUCUCUACUACUCUCCACUUUCCAUUUCUAAGCUCUGUUAAAAAAUAAAAUUAAAUUUU
Molecule: non-coding RNA, 1657 nt
Organism: Peromyscus maniculatus bairdii (prairie deer mouse)
Lineage: Eukaryota; Metazoa; Chordata; Mammalia; Rodentia; Cricetidae
Source: RefSeq, a predicted model, not a curated record